ACUGGCAGCCAUAUCACCCUGUAGCCCAAGACUGGUUGCCCACUGAAGCUAAGCAGGGCUGAGCCUGGUCAAACUUUGCUGUUUCAGUG
RNAcentral lists this ribosomal RNA (89 nucleotides) under Sinocyclocheilus anshuiensis. Lineage: Eukaryota; Metazoa; Chordata; Actinopteri; Cypriniformes; Cyprinidae. The record is from RNAcentral.